CUCCGCGCCGGCGUUGCCCGUGCACCCUCCGCGCCGGUGAUCUCCACCUGGCAGUGAAGAGCACCUCAAAACACAUCUAAGGGGAUGAGCAGGAGACGUCGGACAUAUUUGGGGCACGUCCAGACCGAAGCAGCCUUUGGAGCGCAUGGCUGGGGGAGGUUUAGUGUCCGGCGUGCCCCAAUUCCCUUUGGUGGACCUUUGGGUCGCGACUGGAGAUGCUCUUACUGUGGCUAUACCUAAGAGCUCCCUCAAAAUCCCAAAGGUUGCUGAUCGCUAGCUCCAGCUCCAGCACGAUUCCUAGCUCUCCGCCGCAGGUUCUGGGAAGGUGGGAUCCCUGGCGGUCGAUGUACCUAGGAGGAGACACUAUCUUCUGGAACAGUAGUGGACUCACAUGAUGCCACAUGCGCCACUGGACAAUUUUAUUGCAACUUCAUCUUUAAUUGUUGAAGUGGAUAUUGUUUUUAAAACAUCAGAGGCUUUGUUUGAUACAAAUACUGAAGUUGGCAUGCCUAAACUUGUUAUCUGAGCAGUCAUGUUCUUCAAUCUAUGGCUAUACUUAUGUUCUGCAGUUUUCUCAAAUUAGCGAGAUACUUGUAAUUUGAAGUUAGAACCGAUCA
Lolium rigidum is the source of this 617-nucleotide long non-coding RNA. RefSeq lists it as uncharacterized. NCBI's taxonomy places the organism in Eukaryota, Viridiplantae, Streptophyta, Magnoliopsida, Poales, Poaceae. The transcript has 3 exons. The record is from RefSeq and is a predicted model, not a curated record.